AUUGAACGCUGGCGGCAUGCUUUACACAUGCAAGUCGAACGGUAACAGGCCGCAAGGUGCUGACGAGUGGCGAACGGGGGAGUAAUGCAUCGGAACGUGCCCAGUCGUGGGGGAUAACUACUCGAAAGAGUAGCUAAUACCGCAUACGAUAUAUGGAUGAAAGCGGGGGACCGUAAGGCCUCGCGCGAGUGGAGCGGCCGAUGUCAGAUUAGGUAGUUGGUGGGGUAAAGGCUCACCAAGCCAACGAUCUGUAGCGGGUCUGAGAGGACGACCAGCCACACUGGGACUGAGCCACGGCCCAGACUCCUACGGGAGGCAGCAGUGGGGAAUUUUGGACAAUGGGCGCAAGCCUGAUCCAGCAAUGCCGCGUGCAGGAAGAAGGCCUUCGGGUUGUAAACUGCUUUUGUACGGAACGAAACGGCUCUGGUUAAUACCCGGGGCUAAUGACGGUACCGUAAGAAUAAGCACCGGCUAACUACGUG
RNAcentral lists this ribosomal RNA (482 nucleotides) under uncultured bacterium. RNAcentral describes it as "partial 16S ribosomal RNA". It matches the Rfam family "Bacterial small subunit ribosomal RNA", at positions 30 to 507 of the family's 1533-position model. The record is from RNAcentral.